UGGAAUGGCUAUGAUUUCUCUUCCUACACUC
This 31-nucleotide non-coding RNA is filed under the name Mus musculus (house mouse). The record is from RNAcentral. Lineage: Eukaryota; Metazoa; Chordata; Mammalia; Rodentia; Muridae.